RNAcentral lists this ribosomal RNA (468 nucleotides) under uncultured bacterium. Its description in RNAcentral is "partial 16S ribosomal RNA". It matches the Rfam family "Bacterial small subunit ribosomal RNA", at positions 28 to 507 of the family's 1533-position model. The record is from RNAcentral.
GACGAACGCUGGCGGCGUGCUUAACACAUGCAAGUCGAACGGAAAGGCCCUGCUUUUGUUGGGUGCUCGAGUGGCGAACGGGUGAGUAACACGUGAGUAACCUGCCCUUUACUUUGGGAUAACGUCAGGAAACUGGUGCUAAUACCGGAUAGUAGCUCCUGCUGCAUGGGGGGGUGUGGAAAGUUGCUGCGCUUGGGGAUGGACGCGCGGCUGAUCAGCUUGUUGGUGGGGUAGUGGCUUACCAAGGCUUUGACGGGUAGCCGGCCGGGGCGGGUGACCGGCCACAUUGGGCCUGGGCUACGGCGCAGAGUCGUAGGGGGGGAAGCAGUGGGGAAUAUUGAACACUGGGGCGACGCCUGAUGGAGCAACGCCGAGUGCUGGAUGAUGGCAUUCGGGUUGUAACACGGUUUAGCCUGUGCAGAAGCGUGAGUGACGGUAAUGGGUAAAGAAGCACCGGCUAACUACGUG